GACGAACGCUGGCGGCGUGCUUAACACAUGCAAGUCGAACGGAAAGGCCCUGCUUUUGUGGGGUGCUCGAGUGGCGAACGGGUGAGUAACACGUGAGUAACCUGCCCUUGACUUUGGGAUAACUUCAGGAAACUGGGGCUAAUACCGGAUAGGAGCUCCUGCUGCAUGGUGGGGGUUGGAAAGUUUCGGCGGUUGGGGAUGGACUCGCGGCUUAUCAGCUUGUUGGUGGGGUAGUGGCUUACCAAGGCUUUGACGGGUAUACGGCCUGAGAGGGUGACCGGCCACAUUGGGACUGAGAUACGGCCCAGACUCCUACGGGAGGCAGCAGUGGGGAAUAUUGCACAAUGGGCGGAAGCCUGAUGCAGCAACGCCGCGUGCGGGAUGACGGCCUUCGGGUUGUAAACCGCUUUCGCCUGUGACGAAGCGUGAGUGACGGUAAUGGGUAAAGAAGCACCGGCUAACUACGUG
Molecule: ribosomal RNA, 468 nt
Filed under: uncultured bacterium
Lineage: Bacteria
Description: partial 16S ribosomal RNA
Rfam family: Bacterial small subunit ribosomal RNA
Source: RNAcentral